UACUAUAGCUUGACACUGAACACUGGUCCUUGAUGUGUAGGAUAGGUGGGAGGCUUUGAAGCGAGGACGCCAGUUCUUGUGGAGCCAACCUUGAAAUACCACCCUUUAAUGGCUGGUGUUCUAACGUGGACCCGUAAUCCGGGUUGCGGACAGUGUCUGGUGGGUAGUUUGACUGGGGCGGUCUCCUCCUAAAGCGUAACGGAGGAGCACGAAGGUUAGCUAAUCCUGGUCGGACAUCAGGAGGUUAGUGCAAUGGCAUAAGCUA
This 265-nucleotide ribosomal RNA is filed under the name Enterobacter sp. ENT03. RNAcentral's name for it is "partial 23S ribosomal RNA". It matches the Rfam family "Bacterial large subunit ribosomal RNA", at positions 2102 to 2366 of the family's 2925-position model. Lineage: Bacteria; Pseudomonadati; Pseudomonadota; Gammaproteobacteria; Enterobacterales; Enterobacteriaceae. The record is from RNAcentral.